UCCUAGCCCCGAUUGUAGAGAAAAUCCUUUUUUGAAAAAAAAGAUUGCAACGGAAAGCGGGAAAUAGC
Molecule: small RNA, 68 nt
Filed under: Chryseobacterium soldanellicola
Lineage: Bacteria; Pseudomonadati; Bacteroidota; Flavobacteriia; Flavobacteriales; Weeksellaceae
Description: Flavo-1 RNA
Rfam family: Flavo-1 RNA
Source: RNAcentral